Molecule: transfer RNA, 70 nt
Filed under: Dipodomys ordii (Ord's kangaroo rat)
Lineage: Eukaryota; Metazoa; Chordata; Mammalia; Rodentia; Heteromyidae
Rfam family: tRNA
About the family: Transfer RNA (tRNA) molecules are approximately 80 nucleotides in length. Their secondary structure includes four short double-helical elements and three loops (D, anti-codon, and T loops). Further hydrogen bonds mediate the characteristic L-shaped molecular structure. tRNAs have two regions of fundamental functional importance: the anti-codon, which is responsible for specific mRNA codon recognition, and the 3' end, to which the tRNAs corresponding amino acid is attached (by aminoacyl-tRNA synthetases). tRNAs cope with the degeneracy of the genetic code in two manners: having more than one tRNA (with a specific anti-codon) for a particular amino acid; and 'wobble' base-pairing, i.e. permitting non-standard base-pairing at the 3rd anti-codon position.
Source: Rfam by way of RNAcentral
GGGAAUGUGGCUUAGUGGUAGAGUGCUUGCCUAGCAUGCAUGAAGCCCUGGGUUGAAUUCCUCAAUACCA